UAGUGACCUAGCGGCGGACGGGUGAGUAAUGCUUAGGAAUCUGCCUAUUAGUGGGGGACAACAUCUCGAAAGGGAUGCUAAUACCGCAUACGUCCUACGGGAGAAAGCAGGGGAUCUUCGGACCUUGCGCUAAUAGAUGAGCCUAAGUCGGAUUAGCUAGUUGGUGGGGUAAAGGCCUACCAAGGCGACGAUCUGUAGCGGGUCUGAGAGGAUGAUCCGCCACACUGGGACUGAGACACGGCCCAGACUCCUACGGGAGGCAGCAGUGGGGAAUAUUGGACAAUGGGGGGAACCCUGAUCCAGCCAUGCCGCGUGUGUGAAGAAGGCCUUAUGGUUGUAAAGCACUUUAAGCGAGGAGGAGGCUACUUUAGUUAAUACCUAGAGAUAGUGGACGUUACUCGCAGAAUAAGCACCGGCUAACUCUGUGCCAGCAGCCGCGGUAAUACAGAGGGUGCGAGCGUUAAUCGGAUUUACUGGGCGUAAAGCGUGCGUAGGCGGCUUAUUAAGUCGGAUGUGAAAUCCCCGAGCUUAACUUGGGAAUUGCAUUCGAUACUGGUGAGCUAGAGUAUGGGAGAGGAUGGUAGAAUUCCAGGUGUAGCGGUGAAAUGCGUAGAGAUCUGGAGGAAUACCGAUGGCGAGGGCAGCCAUCUGGCCUAAUACUGACGCUGAGGUACGAAAGCAUGGGGAGCAAACAGGAUUAGAUACCUCUGGUAGUCCAUGCCGUAACGAUGUCUACUAGCCGUUGGGGCCUUUGAGGCUUUAGUGGCGCAGCUAACGCGAUAAGUAGACCGCCUGGGGAGUACGGUCGCAGACUAAACUCAAUGAAUUGACGGGGCCCGCACAGCGGUGGAGCAUGUGGUUUAUUCGAUGCACGCGAGAACUUACCUGGUCUUGACAUACUAGAAACUUUCAGAGAUGGAUUGGUGC
Molecule: ribosomal RNA, 927 nt
Filed under: Acinetobacter sp.
Lineage: Bacteria; Pseudomonadati; Pseudomonadota; Gammaproteobacteria; Moraxellales; Moraxellaceae
Description: bacterial SSU rRNA
Rfam family: Bacterial small subunit ribosomal RNA
Source: RNAcentral